RNAcentral lists this ribosomal RNA (253 nucleotides) under uncultured bacterium. RNAcentral's name for it is "partial 16S ribosomal RNA". It matches the Rfam family "Bacterial small subunit ribosomal RNA", at positions 524 to 776 of the family's 1533-position model. The record is from RNAcentral.
UACGAAGGGGGCUAGCGUUGUUCGGAAUCACUGGGCGUAAGGCGCACGUAGGCGGCUUUGCAAGUUAGAGGUGAAAGCCCGGGGCUCAACUCCGGAAUUGCCUUUAAAACUGCAUCGCUAGAAUUGUGGAGAGGUAAGUGGGAUUCCGAGUGUAGAGGUGAAAUUCGUAGAUAUUCGGAAGAACACCAGUGGCGAAGGCGACUUACUGGACACAUAUUGACGCUGAGGUGCGAAAGCGUGGGGAGCAAACAGG